This 253-nucleotide ribosomal RNA is filed under the name uncultured bacterium. Its description in RNAcentral is "partial 16S ribosomal RNA". It matches the Rfam family "Bacterial small subunit ribosomal RNA", at positions 524 to 776 of the family's 1533-position model. The record is from RNAcentral.
UACGGGGGGGGCAAGCGUUGUUCGGAAUUACUGGGCGUAAAGGGCUCGUAGGCGGCCAACUAAGUCAGACGUGAAAUCCCUCGGCUUAACCGGGGAACUGCAUCUGAUACUGGAUGGCUUGAGUUCGGGAGAGGGAUGCGGAAUUCCAGGUGUAGCGGUGAAAUGCGUAGAUAUCUGGAGGAACACCGGUGGCGAAGGCGGCGUGCUGGACCCGAUCUGACGCUGAGGCGCGAAAGCCAGGGGAGCAAACGGG